CCAGGUGGGUAGAUGGCAGGUUGAAUAAAGAGAAGCUAGUGAUGUGGGGGUUCUCUCAUAACCCUCAGUCCCCAGGUGGGUAGAUGGCAGGUUGAAUAAAGAGAAGCUAGUGAUGUGGGGGUUCUCUCAUAACCCUCAGUCCCCAGGUGGGUAGAUGGCAGGUUGUAUAUAGAGAAGCUAGUGAUGUGGGGGUUCUCUCAUAACCCUCAGUCCCCAGGUGGGUAGAUGGCAGGUUGAAUAAAGAGAAGCUAGUGAUGUGGGGGUUCUCUCAUAACCCUCAGUCCCCAGGUGGGUAGAUGGCAGGUUGAAUAAAGAGAAGCUAGUGAUGUGGGGGUUCUCUCAUAACCCUCAGUCCCCAGGUGGGUAGAUGGCAGGUUGAAUAAAGAGAAGCUAGUGAUGUGGGGGUUCUCUC
RNAcentral lists this long non-coding RNA (412 nucleotides) under Salmo salar (Atlantic salmon). Its description in RNAcentral is "lncRNA (ENSSSAG00000091540.1)". The record is from RNAcentral. Lineage: Eukaryota; Metazoa; Chordata; Actinopteri; Salmoniformes; Salmonidae.